AUUGAACGCUGGCGGCAUGCCUUACACAUGCAAGUCGAACGGCAGCACGGGAGCAAUCCUGGUGGCGAGUGGCGAACGGGUGAGUAAUAUAUCGGAACGUGCCCAGUCGUGGGGGAUAACGUAGCGAAAGCUACGCUAAUACCGCAUACGAUCUAUGGAUGAAAGCGGGGGAUCGCAAGACCUCGCGCGAUUGGAGCGGCCGAUAUCAGAUUAGGUAGUUGGUGAGGUAAAGGCUCACCAAGCCGACGAUCUGUAGCUGGUCUGAGAGGACGACCAGCCACACUGGGACUGAGACACGGCCCAGACUCCUACGGGAGGCAGCAGUGGGGAAUUUUGGACCAUGGGCGCAAGCCUGAUCCAGCAAUGCCGCGUGCAGGAUGAAGGCCUUCGGGUUGUAAACUGCUUUUGUACGGAACGAAACGGUGAGCUCUAAUACAGUUUGCUAAUGACGGUACCGUAAGAAUAAGCACCGGCUAACUACGUGCCAGCAGCCGCCGUAA
Molecule: ribosomal RNA, 500 nt
Filed under: uncultured bacterium
Lineage: Bacteria
Description: partial 16S ribosomal RNA
Rfam family: Bacterial small subunit ribosomal RNA
Source: RNAcentral